UUUUAUUGGAGAGUUUGAUCCUGGCUCAGGACGAACGCUGGCGGCGUGCCUAAUACAUGCAAGUCGAGCGCGGGAAGCAGGCU
Molecule: ribosomal RNA, 83 nt
Filed under: Salinibacillus kushneri
Lineage: Bacteria; Bacillati; Bacillota; Bacilli; Caryophanales; Bacillaceae
Description: 16S rRNA. Bacterial SSU
Rfam family: Bacterial small subunit ribosomal RNA
Source: RNAcentral